AGCGAAUGCUGGCGGCAGGCCUAAAACAUGCAAGUCGAACGCCGUAGCAAUACGGAGUGGCAGACGGGUGAGUAACACGUGGGAACGUGCCCUUUGGUUUGGAACAACACAGGGAAACUUGUGCUAAUACCGGAUAAGCCCUUACGGGGAAAGAUUUAUCGCCAAAGGAUCGGCCCGCGUCUGAUUAGCUAGUUGGUGAGGUAACGGCUCACCAAGGCUACGAUCAGUAGCUGGUCGAGAGGAUGAUCAGCCACACUGGGACUGAGACACGGCCCAGACUCCUACGGAGGCAGCAGUGGGAAUCUUGCGCAAUGGGCGAAAGCCUGACGCAGCGACGCCGC
RNAcentral lists this ribosomal RNA (341 nucleotides) under uncultured bacterium. RNAcentral's name for it is "bacterial SSU rRNA". It matches the Rfam family "Bacterial small subunit ribosomal RNA", at positions 29 to 400 of the family's 1533-position model. The record is from RNAcentral.